UUUCUCCGCCGGCGACCGGCGCACGGGUGAGUAACACGUAUGCGAACCUGCCCCUGUACAGGGGGACAACCCGCCGAAAGGCGGGCUAAACCCGCGUACAUGCCACCGGGGCAGUCCCGGAAGGCAGGAAAGGCUUCGGCCGGACAGGGAUGGGCAUGCGGCGCAUUAGGCAGUAGGCGGGGUAACGGCCCACCUAACCGACGAUGCGUAGGGGUUCUGAGAGGAAGGUCCCCCACACUGGUACUGAGACACGGACCAGACUCCUACGGAAGGCAGCAG
RNAcentral lists this ribosomal RNA (279 nucleotides) under uncultured bacterium. RNAcentral describes it as "partial 16S ribosomal RNA". It matches the Rfam family "Bacterial small subunit ribosomal RNA", at positions 80 to 354 of the family's 1533-position model. The record is from RNAcentral.